This is an unclassified non-coding RNA of Bison bison bison, 91 nucleotides long. The record is from Ensembl. Lineage: Eukaryota; Metazoa; Chordata; Mammalia; Artiodactyla; Bovidae.
CCUCCAGGGGCAGCUGUCAACAUCUGGGUCUGCACUUAGGGCCAGACAAGAGGGUGGGAGCUGGGUCCCUGGUAACUCAGCUGUCUCAGGG